Molecule: long non-coding RNA, 595 nt
Filed under: Phasianus colchicus (ring-necked pheasant)
Lineage: Eukaryota; Metazoa; Chordata; Aves; Galliformes; Phasianidae
Description: lncRNA (ENSPCLG00000018600.1)
Source: RNAcentral
CUUAUGGGGCCGAACCCCUCUGCGUCCCUGUGGGUCAGCAGUGGGGGGGGAACGGGGAUGGGGAGGGGAAUUGGGAUUGGGGAUGGGGUGAGGAUGGGAAUUGGGAUGUUGAUGGGGAUGGGAUUUGGGAUGGGGAUUGGGAUGAGAAUUGGGAUGGGAACUGGAAUAGGAACUGGGAUGGGAACUGGGAUGGGGAUUGGGAUGGAAACGGGAUAAGGAUUGGGAUGGGAAUUGGGACAGGAAUUGGGAUGGGGAUUGGGAUGGAAACAGGAUGGGAACUGGGAUGGGAACUGGAAUGGGAAUGGGAUGGGGAAUGGGAUGGGAAUGGGAUGGGGAUUGGGAUGGGAACUGGGAUGGGAACUGGGAUGGGAACUGGGAUGGGAACUGGGAUGGGAAUGGGAUGGGAACUGGGAGCGGUGGGAUGGGAACUGGGAGCAAUGGGGUGGAAUGGGGAGUAACGGGACGGGAACUGGGAGUGAUGGGACGGGAACUGGGAGUGAUGGGAUGGGAACUGGGAGCAGUGGGGUGGGGGCAGUAGGAUGGGGGCAGUAGGAUGGGGAUGGGAGCAGUGGGGUGGGGAUGGGGGCAGUGGGAU